This 74-nucleotide transfer RNA is filed under the name Terriglobia bacterium. RNAcentral's name for it is "tRNA-Arg". It matches the Rfam family "tRNA". From Rfam's summary of the family: Transfer RNA (tRNA) molecules are approximately 80 nucleotides in length. RNAcentral also lists the same sequence under 1 other name. The record is from RNAcentral. Lineage: Bacteria; Pseudomonadati; Acidobacteriota; Terriglobia.
GCGCCCUUAGCUCAGCUGGAUAGAGCGUCUGGCUACGAACCAGAAGGUCGGGAGUUCGAAUCUCUCAGGGCGCA